RNAcentral lists this ribosomal RNA (253 nucleotides) under uncultured bacterium. RNAcentral describes it as "partial 16S ribosomal RNA". It matches the Rfam family "Bacterial small subunit ribosomal RNA", at positions 524 to 776 of the family's 1533-position model. The record is from RNAcentral.
UACGUAGGGUGCGAGCGUUAAUCGGAAUUACUGGGCGUAAAGCGUGCGCAGGCGGUUUUGUAAGACAGAUGUGAAAUCCCCGGGCUUAACCUGGGAACUGCAUUUGUGACUGCAAGACUAGAGUGCGGCAGAGGGGGGUAGAAUUCCACGUGUAGCAGUGAAAUGCGUAGAUAUGUGGAGGAACACCAAUGGCGAAGGCAGCCCCCUGGGAUAACACUGACGCUCAUGUACGAAAGCGUGGGUAGCAAACAGG